GACAGAGGGUGCAAACGUUGUUCGGAAUUACUGGGCGUAAAGCGCGUGUAGGCGGUCUCGCAAGUCGGAUGUGAAAGCCCCCGGCUCAACUGGGGAGGGUCACGCGAUACUGAUCGACUCGAAGGCAGGAGAGGGAAGUGGAAUUCCCGGUGUAGUGGUGAAAUGCGUAGAUAUCGGGAGGAACACCAGUGGCGAAGGCGGGUCUCUGGGCAAUAACUGACGCUGAGG
This 228-nucleotide ribosomal RNA is filed under the name uncultured bacterium. Its description in RNAcentral is "partial 16S ribosomal RNA". It matches the Rfam family "Bacterial small subunit ribosomal RNA", at positions 524 to 751 of the family's 1533-position model. The record is from RNAcentral.